Molecule: non-coding RNA, 109 nt
Organism: Acanthosepion pharaonis
Lineage: Eukaryota; Metazoa; Mollusca; Cephalopoda; Sepiida; Sepiidae
Source: the annotation of a GenBank genome assembly
ACCACAUCACGUUGAUACACCGGUUCCCGUACGAUCAUCGAAGUAAAGCAAAGUGGAAUCCGGUCAGUACAGAGAUGGGUGACCGCUUGGAAAUAUCAGGUGCUGUAAG